CGUACAACACGAGGGCUUCAUCAUCAACUCACUGACUAUCUACGUUUGACUGAAAAAAGCUAAAUAUUAUUGGAAGAUCUUGUGACGGUCCAUUCGUGGAUAUCCAUGUUUCUGCAAUUCUCAUUUUCGUGGCUUUACAUCUAUCAUCUUCUUUUUUUCGGAUAAUGGCUUCUCAUAUGAAAUAAUUAGAGAGCAUGUGAUGUGACCCACUAAAUUACAGAGGGGGCGUCUAAUAUAUGAC
Arabidopsis thaliana (thale cress) is the source of this 241-nucleotide long non-coding RNA. RefSeq annotates it as other RNA. Lineage: Eukaryota; Viridiplantae; Streptophyta; Magnoliopsida; Brassicales; Brassicaceae. The record is from RefSeq. The transcript has a single exon.